CCUACGGGAGGCAGCAGUCGAGAAUCAUUCACAAUGGGGGAAACCCUGAUGGUGCGACGCCGCGUGGGGGAAUGAAGGUCUUCGGAUUGUAAACCCCUGUCAUGUGGGAGCAAAUUAAAAAGAUAGUACCACAAGAGGAAGAGACGGCUAACUCUGUGCCAGCAGCCGCGGUAAUACAGAGGUCUCAAGCGUUGUUCGGAAUCACUGGGCGUAAAGCGUGCGUAGGCUGUUUCGUAAGUCGUGUGUGAAAGGCCCGGGCUCAACCCGCGGACGGCACAUGAUACUGCGAGACUAGAGUAAUGGAGGGGGAACCGGAAUUCUCGGUGUAGCAGUGAAAUGCGUAGAUAUCGGGAGGAACACUCGUGGCGAAGGCGGGUUCCUGGACAUUAACUGACGCUGAGGCACGAAGGCCAGGGGAGCGAAAGGGAUUAGAUACCCGAGUAGUC
RNAcentral lists this ribosomal RNA (446 nucleotides) under uncultured bacterium. RNAcentral's name for it is "partial 16S ribosomal RNA". It matches the Rfam family "Bacterial small subunit ribosomal RNA", at positions 338 to 795 of the family's 1533-position model. The record is from RNAcentral.